Molecule: long non-coding RNA, 483 nt
Filed under: Homo sapiens (human)
Lineage: Eukaryota; Metazoa; Chordata; Mammalia; Primates; Hominidae
Description: non-protein coding lnc-BEX1-4:1
Source: RNAcentral
UACUAUUUUUGUUGUAGGCAUCAUAGGACUUUCUUCAAAACUUUUACCUAUUACAUGGGUUUAGGGUUAUCAAUGGUGGUGUGGAAUGCAGGAUUGUAAUAAAUUUUGGUGGAUGUUUUAUGGGAAUGAUAGUGUUUUAAAUUUAUUUAGCAGGGAUACUGGUAGUAUUUAGAAUCCUAUAACCAUAGCUACUAAAUACAAUCCUGAAAUGUGAGGAUCUGGUGUUGUUAUUUGGGGGAGGUUCAAAUCCUAACAAUAGUUAGGAUUAUUAAUAUAAUUAUUUAAUCAUUGUAUAAAUAAUAGGCUAUGAUGAAAUAAAAAUUAUUAUUGAUUUCAAAAAUUUAGAGGAUUGGGUGAUUUUUGAGGGUAAAGAAGUCAGGCUUCUUUGUGAAGAUUCUAUAGGUGUGGUUGCAUUGUACAGUUAAUGGAGUUGAUUCAUGGUCGUAAGUGACUGAUCCUUUUGUUAAUAUUUUGUUGUUAUUG